This is a long non-coding RNA of Vigna angularis (adzuki bean), 889 nucleotides long. RefSeq lists it as uncharacterized. Lineage: Eukaryota; Viridiplantae; Streptophyta; Magnoliopsida; Fabales; Fabaceae. The transcript has 2 exons. The record is from RefSeq and is a predicted model, not a curated record.
UUUGGGAAUGGUGGGGACAUGGUGGGCACCAUAUUUUCAUUUAUUGGGCUGCACACAUCAAAGUGGAGGGUCCUCCUUUUGUUGGCUAUGAUUGAAGGAAGUGUUGAAAGAAGUUGAUGGAAGGAGCACAUCAUACAACUCUCGGCAUCCAGCAGAUGGAGAAAUCACAUUUCAAUUAUUUCUCUUAAGUGGAGACAACAUAAUGAAGAGAAGGGACCACCACCCCACUUGGAGAAGCACCUCACGGUUUUUCUCUCUAGCUGCACCGAAGUGUCUUCUCUUCCUUUCUAUUGAUGAGCUUCAAGUAAAGACACCAAGGCAACCAUGAGAGACCAACAAGCAUACGUAGCUGCCACAAAAGAAGUCCAGCCAUUACAACCAUGGAAGAAAAAGGGGAGAGAGUUGCUGGAAAAAUCUGGAAGAGUUGCUGCAAGAUCUGGGAGAGGUGAAACGGAGAGCGUCCGGAGCUGCAGCUACAAACCUUGGGAAGAUUGAUUCAAGAGGGGUGUUGGAUGCUGCAUCCAGAGAAGUGGAGAGCUCGUGGAUUUGGAAGGUGAUCCGCACACUGUAUUUCAAGAAUUUCAAGGAGGUCUUCAAGAGAUGUUGUCGAGGAGAGUCCUUUAGAGCAGGAGCUGGAGGAUACUAAGGUUGCGGAGUAGUCUUCUUAGGAGUUUCCCAUAUGGACACGUGUAGUGUUCGACUCUUUAAGCUAUUUAAGUUCGAAUUUUCGUUUUCUUUUAUUUCUGGAUGACUGUAAUUUUACAUUUAAUUACACGUCAUGAUCCGACUGUUCUCUUUAUUGGAAUGUUGACGUCUUGAUUAUGUAAUAUUGGUUAUUAUAUAAUCGGGAUGUUACAGUAUUACUCUGAAUUAAUUAGGAUAAUCACUG